AGUGAACGCUGGCGGUAGGCCUAACACAUGCAAGUCGAACGGCAGCACAGUAAGAGCUUGCUCUUACGGGUGGCGAGUGGCGGACGGGUGAGGAAUACAUCGGAAUCUACUUUUUCGUGGGGGAUAACGUAGGGAAACUUACGCUAAUACCGCAUACGACCUACGGGUGAAAGCAGUGGAUCUUCGGACCUUGCGCGAUUGAAUUAGCCGAUGUCGGAUUAGCUAGUUGGCGGGUUAAAGGCCCACGAAGGCGACGAUCCGUAGCUGGUCUGAGAGAAUGAUCAGCCACAUUGGAACUGAGCCACGGACAAGACUCCUGAGGGAGGCAGCAGUGGGGAAUAUUGGACAAUGGGCGGAAGCCUGAUACAGCCAUACUGAGUGGGUGAAGAAGGCGUUCGGGUUGUAAAGACCUUUUGUUGGGAAAGAAAAGCAGCAGGUUAAUACCACGCUGUUCUGACGGUACCCAAAGAAUAAGCACCGGCUAACUUCGUG
Molecule: ribosomal RNA, 492 nt
Filed under: uncultured bacterium
Lineage: Bacteria
Description: partial 16S ribosomal RNA
Rfam family: Bacterial small subunit ribosomal RNA
Source: RNAcentral